UAUCUCUGUAGAGUCUGCAUAUCAAUAAGCGGAGGAAAAGAAACUAACUAGGAUUCCCUUAGUAACGGCGAGUGAAGCGGGAAGAGCUCAAAUUUGAAAUCUUCAAGGUUUUACCUUGACGAAUUGUAGUUUAAAGAAGUGUUUUCUGUUGGUGUUUUGGUAAAAGUUCUUUGGAAUAGGACAUCAUAGAGGGUGAGAAUCCCGUAUUUGACCAUUACUUUCCAACUUUGUGAUACACUUUCAAAGAGUCGGAUUGUUUGGGAAUGCAGUCCAAAAUGGGUGGUAAAUUUCAUCUAAAGCUAAAUACUGGCGAGAGACCGAUAGCGAACAAGUACCGUGAGGGAAAGAUGAAAAGAACUUUGAAAAGAGAGUUAAACAGUACGUGAAAUUGUCAAAAGGGAAGCGUUUGACACCAGUGUUGUUUUCUCGAAAAUCAAUUAAAAAAAGUUGGAUUUUGUAUUGUUAAGACCUUAUCAGCUUACUGUACUCUUUUCUUGUCUUUUUUAAUGCACUUUUCGUUUAACAAGUCAACAUCAAUUUCUUUUGUUGUAAAAGGGUCAUUGGAAGGUGGCUUUCUUUUCGGAGAAAGUGUUUAUAGCCUUUGGCCUCUGCAAUCGGAGAGAUUGAGGUCUGCAGCGUAGAUCCUUCGGGGUUAGAUACAUUUGUGCUAAGUUAUAGCCUUUCAUAGACAACUUGUUGACUAUGAUCAGUCAUGUAGCUUACUCGCUUAUGCUAUUUUACCUACGCUUAGGAUGUUGAAGAUGUAGCACAUCAU
This 775-nucleotide ribosomal RNA is filed under the name uncultured Neocallimastigales. Its description in RNAcentral is "partial large subunit ribosomal RNA". It matches the Rfam family "Eukaryotic large subunit ribosomal RNA", at positions 24 to 635 of the family's 3401-position model. Lineage: Eukaryota; Fungi; Neocallimastigomycota; Neocallimastigomycetes; Neocallimastigales. The record is from RNAcentral.